UUGAAGAAAAUCUCUUCCUUAAACCGCCACCACAACCCAAUCCACCUGAUAGCCCGCAUGGUCAGAAAAAUUCCGUAGAUUUAAAGAGCAGGCACGGCAGUUCUAUAGAACCCUAAGAUUUUGUUCUUAAAUCUCUCAGCCUUACCUCACAGACGUCCAGUUGCUUUUCCUCCUGCUUUGCUGUCUGUCUGCUUUAAAAAGAAAGCUCCUCCUAGAAACGCACGAUACAUUAGCUACGGAAACCUCGUGGGAGCGGAGCCUUGGGAGACUCACUGGAUAAAGUGUUUGGUAUUGGGAAGGUCUCUACAGCGAGCCCGAGGAGUUCGACUUCUCAGACAGCCAAGCCUCCAAACUGCUGAGCUAAGACGCGAUAAACAGGAAACUUAUGUUCCGCUUUCUUUUUAACAGUUCAGCCGCUCUGGGAGUGCAAACCUGAAAAGGCGGGAAAACAACGGCUUCUGCAAUUGUGGAGCCACCACACUUUUCGCUUAUUAUCUGAUCUACACUCAGAACGUGAGCGCUGGGCGCGAAGGAAGUACUGCUAAGCUUAGUUAGGACGCGGCUUGCGAGCGUGGUCUGGUCUCUCCUUCAGGUAGAAGGUUCUGGUUCAGAAAGCAAAGCAGUGGCUUAGUGAUGCUCUGCUACAGAAAAAGGCAAGAGCCUUCUGCAACGAAAAUCGGGCUAGCAAUGAGUCCACACUUUGUUGCAAUUUUAGUGGGAUAGCAGAGACAAGACGGAGAUCCUUUACAGUUUCUUCAUGCAGCUGAGUAAAGCAAAACCGGGCGUCUCCUCAAUGCAAGCAAAGAAGAGGCACGCCCAAGACAGUUUGACAACUACUUUUAUUGUAAGGGGCUGCAAAAAGCUAUAUUAAUUCUUAGCAGAACUAAUGCCAUCUUGCCUCUGUGAAAUAUUGCUUAGAGCUGCCAGGGAAUAAAAGAUAGAGAGCUGAAUUGGGAAAGGGGACUUUUUGUGUGCUGAGGUUUCAGGGCUAAAACCCCAAAUAGAAGGGGAUUUUUAUCACAGGAGAUAUUUUAAUACUGAAACCACAAACAGGUGGUUGGCCAAACAGAUGCUUGCUUGCAAACUGCUUAAACUUGGAAACCGCAAGGAGGGAAACAGAGUUGGGGGACUUCCAAAAGGGGGUACGUCAUGAAAUGGUAAUGUCUGCUUGAAACAGCUGAUAGCCUUGCUUUGCAAGAAGGGGAACUGGGUGGGCUUACUAUUUGUCAAAAGGUAUAAAAAUGUUUGUAACUGCUUGUGAAGUGUGUCAUCUCUCUCCUGGCAUUGAGGUGGACACCCGGCCGCUUUGUUCAGCUGAAUAAAAAGACUGAAAAUCUC
Molecule: long non-coding RNA, 1338 nt
Organism: Hemicordylus capensis (graceful crag lizard)
Lineage: Eukaryota; Metazoa; Chordata; Lepidosauria; Squamata; Cordylidae
Exons: 2
Source: RefSeq, a predicted model, not a curated record